AAGUCGUAACAAGGUUUCCGUAGGUGAACCUGCGGAAGGAUCAUUCAUAAUCAAGUGUUUUUAUGGCACUUUAAAAAUCCAUAUCCACCUUGUGUGCAAUGUCAUCUCACUUGGGUCACGGCUGUAAAACGCCGGCGGCCCGUUUGGGAUUUAUAUCUACUCAGAAUUUUAAUCAUUUUGUCUGAAACAUAUUAUGAAUAACUUAAUUCAAAAUACAACUUUCAACAACGGAUCUCUUGGCUCUCGCAUCGAUGAAGAACGCAGCGAAAUGCGAUACGUAAUGUGAAUUGCAGAAUUCAGUGAAUCAUCGAAUCUUUGAACGCAUAUUGCGCUCUCUGGUAUUCCGGAGAGCAUGCUUGUUUGAGUAUCAGUAAACACCUCAACUCCCUUUUUUCUUUUUUGAAAUGAGGGAGCUGGACUUGAGUGAUCCCAACGCUUUUUUCAAAAGUGGCGGGUUACUUGAAAUGCAGGUGCAGCUGGACUUUUCUCUGAGCUAAAAGCAUAUCUAUUUAGUCUGCCUAAAAACAGAUUAUUACCUUUGCUGCAGCUAACAUAAAGGAGAUGAGUUCUUGUGCUGACUGAUGCAGGAUUCACAGAGACAGCUUCGCGGCUGACUUUGUAAACUCGAUCUCAAAUCAAGUAAGACUACCCGCUGAACUUAA
This 662-nucleotide ribosomal RNA is filed under the name Mortierella sp. L-1. RNAcentral's name for it is "eukaryotic LSU rRNA". The stretch from base 217 to 370 matches the Rfam family "5.8S ribosomal RNA". The record is from RNAcentral. Lineage: Eukaryota; Fungi; Mortierellomycota; Mortierellomycetes; Mortierellales; Mortierellaceae.